Non-coding RNA from Phascolarctos cinereus (koala), 932 nucleotides. NCBI's taxonomy places the organism in Eukaryota, Metazoa, Chordata, Mammalia, Diprotodontia, Phascolarctidae. The record is from RefSeq and is a predicted model, not a curated record.
AGUUAUAACAGCAUUCCAGUUGCUCUUGAGAUACCGGAGGGGAGGCUGACGAGAGGCCAGCAUUUUGAUUAUGUCCCUCUUUCCAGCUUACUACACACCAGAGACUUUGGGGAAUGUCUCCUUGAAAAAGGAAAAUGAGGCCCAGUGAGUGACUUACCUACGGAUACACAAUUAGGGGAGGCACUGGACUCUAGAACCCACAUUCAUAAGGAGGUUGAGAGUGGGUUAAUCAUUAAGGAUGGAGAGGAAAAAAAGAGGACACUGAUACAUCUUUAAAAUAUACGGAAGUUUGGAAGGAGGGAUGGAUAAGCAGGGCAGCUGGAGAUUCGUGCUUCAUGAAGAAACCAUUUUUUGUAUUCUAUUACAUGUAUAGAAAUCCUCUUUUCAAAAAAUGUUUUAGGUGAAUAGUUCCACCUCAAUCAUCCUGCACUCCCUAUUACAACUUCCCAUUGAAGAGCAGCCUCUUCAGAUAGAAAAACAGCUUUCAGUCAUAUCGGAAGAGUUCAUCCUACAUCUAGUUACUCACCAGCAUUGCUAUCUGUGAUCACAGUACAAGAAAAGUACUCAUACAUCACAAUGCAAAGGAACCUCUUCACUAGGAUGGAUGCCUGCCACCUUUUACUCUCCUAUGCUGACUGAAUAUCUGCCUCCUUGCAUCACUGCACCCAAUGUACCUCUUACUUCUGCAGAAGAAUGGGCCAGGCUGUACUCUGUCCUAGACUCUUAGAUGGAAUGGUGACACCCUACUUGAUUCUGAACUAGAUUUCCUGAGCUCCUGUUGCUGGCUUCCAGAUCCUCUGGUCUGUUUAUGGUGAAGGUUGUGAUGUUUAACCCAAAGAAGAGAUAGAAGAGAUUCUUCAGGGGGAUGAUAGAGAUGGAAGAGUAUAUGAGACCCUGCCAAAGGGAAAAGGAGUUAGGCCCUAAAUUUGACC